This 404-nucleotide ribosomal RNA is filed under the name Actinomycetes bacterium. RNAcentral's name for it is "Actinobacteria bacterium partial 16S ribosomal RNA". It matches the Rfam family "Bacterial small subunit ribosomal RNA", at positions 355 to 776 of the family's 1533-position model. The record is from RNAcentral. Lineage: Bacteria; Bacillati; Actinomycetota; Actinomycetes.
UGGGGAAUAUUGGACAAUGGGCGCAAGCCUGAUCCAGCCAUGCCGCGUGAUUGUUAAAGGCCCUAGGGUUGUAAAGCUCUUUCACCGGUGAAGAUAAUGACGGUAACCGGAGAAGAAGCCCCGGCUAACUUCGUGCCAGCAGCCGCGGUAAUACGAAGGGGGUUAGCGUUGUUCGGAUUUACUGGGCGUAAAGCGCACGUAGGCGGAACUUUAAGUCAGGGGUGAAAUCCUGGGGCUCAACCCAGGAAAUGCCUUUGAUACUGGAAGUCUUGAGUAUGGUAGAGGUGAGUGGAAUUCCGAGUGUAGAGGUGAAAUUCGUAGAUAUUCGGAGGAACACCAGUGGCGAAGGCGGCUCAAUGGACCAUUACUGACGCUGCGGUGCGAAAGCGUGGGGAGCAAACAGG